This is a long non-coding RNA of Mastomys coucha (southern multimammate mouse), 411 nucleotides long. RefSeq lists it as uncharacterized. The record is from RefSeq and is a predicted model, not a curated record. NCBI's taxonomy places the organism in Eukaryota, Metazoa, Chordata, Mammalia, Rodentia, Muridae. The transcript is spliced from 4 exons.
UCCUGAGGCCAUGGAUGUUAGAGAUGUUGGUCUUAGGGACCAUGAGGAAUCUCUGUAGGGCUAAUCAGUGCAGAUCGUACCCCUUAAGUCACUGGAAACCCCAGCUGGCUGAAGCUCUUGAAGAGGACCCAGGAUGUCCCUCCAAACCCAGGCAGCUCAUCUGCAGCUCCCAACCCCGGCUGUUUCUAAGGCUGAUGCUUGAGAGAACUUGGGGACCCUGUCAUGAAAGCCUCAAAGACUAGCUGACAGAUGGCCAACUCCCACCUGUGGAGACUGAAGACAGCGGCUGAGAGGGCAUGUGGAACACUGGAGGAAGCUGUUGGAAUGGUCUCUGUGCCAGGCUGAGUGGAUCCACAUACAAAGAGAAACAGUGAGGGAAGUGUGUGACAGUGCAGCCUGGCUCAGCUGCUG